RNAcentral lists this ribosomal RNA (256 nucleotides) under uncultured bacterium. RNAcentral's name for it is "partial 16S ribosomal RNA". It matches the Rfam family "Bacterial small subunit ribosomal RNA", at positions 521 to 776 of the family's 1533-position model. The record is from RNAcentral.
UAAAACGUAGGAGGCAAGCGUUAUCCGGAUUUAUUGGGCGUAAAGCGCGUGCAGGCUGUUUGGAAAGUUGGAUGUGAAAGCUCCUGGCUUAACUGGGAGAGGUCGUUCAAAACUACCAAACUAGAGAAUGGGAGAGGGAAGUGGAAUUCCGGGUGUAGUGGUGAAAUGCGUAGAUAUCCGGAGGAACACCAGUGGCGAAAGCGGCUUCCUGGACCAUUUCUGACGCUUAGACGCGAAAGCUAGGGGAGCGAACGGG